This 927-nucleotide ribosomal RNA is filed under the name uncultured euryarchaeote. RNAcentral's name for it is "bacterial SSU rRNA". It matches the Rfam family "Archaeal small subunit ribosomal RNA", at positions 21 to 903 of the family's 1478-position model. The record is from RNAcentral. Lineage: Archaea; Methanobacteriati; Methanobacteriota.
AGCCACUGCUAUCGGAGUCCGGCUAAGCCAUGCGAGUCUUGGUAGGCUUUGCCUACCGGCGGACGGCUCAGUAACACGUGGACAACCUGCCCUCGGGAGGGGGAUAACCCCGGGAAACUGGGAAUAAACCCCCAUAGGUCAUGGAGGCUGGAAGGCGCCAUGACCGAAAUUCCGAAAGGAGCCCGAGGAUGGGUCUGCGGCCUAUCAGGUCGUAGUGGGGGUAACGGCCCCACUAGCCUACGACGGGUACGGGCCCUGAGAGGGGGAGCCCGGAGAUGGACUCUGAGACACGAGUCCAGGCCCUACGGGGCGCAGCAGGCGCGAAAACUCCGCAAUGCUCGAAAGAGCGACGGGGGGACUCCGAGUGCCUACGCUUUGCGUAGGCUUUUCCCGAGCCUAAAAAGCUCGGGGAAUAAGGGCUGGGUAAGACGGGUGCCAGCCGCCGCGGUAAUACCCGCAGCUCGAGUGGUGGCCGCUUUUAUUGGGCCUAAAGCGUCCGUAGCCGGUCUGGUAAAUGCCUGGGUAAAUCGUCUGGCUUAACCAGACGGCUCCCAGGUAGACUGCCAGACUUGGGACCGGAGGAGGGAGAGGGUACUCCAGGGGUAGGGGUGAAAUCAGCAGAGCAUCACUCUGAUGAUGUGAAUUGCUCUGCAAGUCACAAUCCUGUAAUCCCUGGAGGACCACCGGUGGCGAAGGCGCUCUCCUAGGACGGGUCCGACGGUGAGGGACGAAAGCCAGGGGAGCAAACCGGAUUAGAUACCCGGGUAGUCCUGGCCGUAAACGAUGUGGACUGGGUAUUGGGAUGGCUACGAGCGGUCCCAGUGUCGUAGGGAAGCCGUUAAGUCCACCGCCUGGGGAGUACGGUCGCAAGGCUGAAACUUAAAGGAAUUGGCGGGGGAGCACCGCAACGGGAGGAGCGUGCGGUUU